This 837-nucleotide ribosomal RNA is filed under the name Scytinopogon sp. RNAcentral describes it as "partial large subunit ribosomal RNA". It matches the Rfam family "Eukaryotic large subunit ribosomal RNA", at positions 81 to 936 of the family's 3401-position model. Lineage: Eukaryota; Fungi; Basidiomycota; Agaricomycetes; Trechisporales; Hydnodontaceae. The record is from RNAcentral.
UAGUAACUGCGAGUGAAGCGGGAAAAGCUCAAAUUUGAAAUCUGGCGGUUCCGCCGCCCGAGUUGUAUUCUGGAGAAGCGUUUUCUGCGCCGGACCGUGUACAAGUUCCUUGGAACAGGACGUCAUAGAGGGUGAGAAUCCCGUCUUUGACACGGACCCCCGGUGCUCUGCGAUGCGCUCUCGAAGAGUCGAGUUGUUUGGGAAUGCAGCUCAAAACGGGUGGUAAAUUCCAUCUAAAGCUAAAUAUUGGCGAGAGACCGAUAGCGAACAAGUACCGUGAGGGAAAGAUGAAAAGCACUUUGGAAAGAGAGUAAAACAGUACGUGAAAUUGUUGAAAGGGAAACGCUUGAAGUCAGUCGCGUCUGCCGGAACUCAGCCUUGCUUCUGCUCGGCGCACUUUCCGGUCUGACGGGCCAGCAUCGGUUUUGCGAGGUGGACACUGGUGGGGGGAAGGUGGCGGCUCCGGUCGUGUUACAGCCCCCCGUCGCAAACACCUGGUGGGACCGAGGAAUCCGGCGCGAGCCUGGGAUGCUGGCGUAAUGGCUUUAAACGACCCGUCUUGAAACACGGACCAAGGAGUGCUACACGCUCGCGAGUGUUUGGGUGGAAAACCCAGACGCGCAAUGAAAGUGAAAGUCGAUACCCCUUUGCGGGGGCACCGACGCCCGAGCCUGAUGUUUUCGGACGGCCUUGCGGUGGAGCGAGUGCGUUGCGACCCGAAAGAUGGUGAACUAUUCCUGAGGAGGGCGAAGCCAGAGGAAACUCUGGUGGAGGCUCGUAGCGGUUCUGACGUGCAAAUCGAUCGCAGGACUUGGGUAUAGGGGCGAAAGACUAAUC